Molecule: non-coding RNA, 28 nt
Filed under: Mus musculus (house mouse)
Lineage: Eukaryota; Metazoa; Chordata; Mammalia; Rodentia; Muridae
Source: RNAcentral
UGUGUAGAUAAAGGUUAAAACCAUUCCC